GAGGUCGGGCUGGCUCUGCCCCAGCGGGUGGGGGCGCGGCCUGGGCUCCGUGGCGCUGCCGUGCCGUGCCGGGUCUGCCCUGUGAGGGACUCGGCCCUGGCUCGGUGAGCCCCGCCUGCGACGAGAGCUCGUGCCAGGUCCUGCUCUGUGGGUCGCUGCCGCCCCGGUUCUGCCAGCAGAGGCACGGGGAGGUUGUCUGGGCUCUGCCGGGAUGCUGCAGCCCUUGAAGCGCGCGUUGGGCAGUGCCGGGAUGACCUGGUGGCCCGCGUCCUGGGCAAUGCGCAUGGAGGUCAGGGCAGGCUCUUCCGCUGGUGCCCAGCCCGGGAAGAAGCAGGGCCUGGAGAAGCUGAGCGCCAAGCUGGCAGCAGGGCCGACGCUGCAGCAGUUCUUAAGAGCUGCCUCCCCGCCUCAGGAGCCUCCGUGUGAGCUGACAGAAGGGCUGGAGGAGCCGGUGCCGUAUCUGGUGCCCAGCACCCUCCCAGAGGCAGGGAGGAAAGUGUACCUGGAGACCUACGGCUGCCAAAUGAACGUGAAUGACACAGACAUCGCCUGGGCCAUCCUCCAGAAGAAUGGCUAUCUGAGGACCAAGAGCUUGGAGGAGGCAGAUGUCAUUCUCCUCGUCACCUGUUCCAUCAGGGAGAAGGCCGAGCAGGCCAUCUGGAACCGCCUGCAGCAACUAAAGGCUCUGAAAUCCAAGCGGCGCCGGACACAGGCUCCCCUCCGAAUUGGCAUCCUUGGCUGCAUGGCUGAGAGGCUGAAGGAGAAGAUCCUGCACCAGGAGAGGCUGGUGGACAUCGUGGCAGGCCCUGACGCCUACAGAGACCUUCCCCGUCUGCUGGCGGUGGAUGCCGAUGUCCUGCCUGUCCAGACCAGCCUGAAUGCUACCUCCGCAUUUGUCUCCGUCAUGCGAGGCUGCGACAACAUGUGCAGCUACUGCAUCGUCCCCUUCACCCGUGGCCGUGAGAGGAGCAGGCCCAUUGCCUCCAUCCUGCAGGAAGUGAAAAUGCUGUCGGAUCAGGGGGUGAAGGAGGUGACCCUGCUGGGCCAGAAUGUCAACAGCUUCCGGGACACCUCUGAGGUCCAGUUCUGCUCGGCUGCUGCACCCAGCCUGAGCCGUGGUUUCAGCACCAUCUACAAGGCCAAGCCAGGAGGCCUGCGCUUCUCCCACCUCCUGGACCAGGUCUCCCGCAUUGACCCUGAAAUCCGCAUCCGCUUCACCUCCUCACACCCCAAGGACUUCCCCGAUGAGGUGCUGCAGCUCAUCCAGGAAAGGCACAACAUCUGCAAACAGUUGCACCUCCCUGCGCAGAGCGGCAGCACACGCAUCCUGCAGGCCAUGCGGCGCGGAUACACCAGAGAAGCUUACCUGGAGCUGGUGCACCACGUGCGGGACUCCAUCCCAGGGGUGAGCCUCAGCAGUGAUUUCAUCGCGGGCUUCUGUGGGGAGACGGAAGAGGACCACCAGCAGACGCUGUCCCUGCUUCGGGAAGUGGGCUACAAUGUAGGCUUCCUCUUUGCCUACAGCAUGAGGCAGCAGGUGGGAUAUCACAGGGUAUUGAAUCCCCUGUGUGACGCUCCAAAGGGAUGUGGCAGCGUGUGUGAAAACUCAGGCGUACCACCGACUGCAGGACGACGUGCCGGCAGAGGUGAAGCACCAGCGGCUGAAGGAGCUCAUCUCCGUCUUCCGGGAGGAGGCAGCCAGGGUCAAUGGGGCCUUGGUGGGUUGCACACAGCUGGUGCUGGUGGAAGGGCCCAGCAAGCGCUCAGCCUCAGAGCUGAGCGGCCGCAACGAUGGCAACAUGAAGGUGAUAAUUGCUAACCGUGAGCUGGAGGACAGGGCUGCAGCCAGAGCUCAGCCAGGUGACUACGUGCUGGUGAAGAUCACCUCUGCCAGCUCCCAGACACUGAGGGGAGUCUUGCUUCGCCACACCACCCUCCGGGAAUCAGCAGUUUACUGCUGAUGCCUGGCUGCCACCACUCAUGACCAGCUGCUGCUCAGGAGGGAAUAGAAUCCUGCCCUGGUCCCUGCAACCUGGUCAAGUGCAGCUGGCUCUGUGGGAAACCCAUGUGCCCCCAGCACUACAAAGACACUGCAGCCCUGCUGCUUGUGGGAAAUGUGACUCCAGUUCAGGCAGAGAGCCUGAGCAAGGGUAGAAACUGGGAUUGGGGGGAGCGUGGGUCUGUGUUCUGUGCACCCGGGGGGCUGGUCCCUGGCCAGAGCGGGGAUGGGGAGAAGGAGGGGCUGGCAUUGCCCCACCAUGGUUUGUGAAUGUCUUGAGGCUGUUGGGCGGGAGGGUACCAGGGAAGUGCAAAUUACAGAAUGUGCUCUUUUCAAAUGUGUGUCUGAUACUUCUCGUCACCAUUGGAGGAGGGGUGGAAGGACAGGUCCUGCUCCGUCCAGAGGGUAGAGGGGUCCUGGGAGCACAGCAGUGCUUGGGUUACAGUU
Alligator sinensis (Chinese alligator) is the source of this 2446-nucleotide RNA transcript. It is a transcript of the gene named CDK5 regulatory subunit associated protein 1, with no coding region annotated. The record is from RefSeq and is a predicted model, not a curated record. NCBI's taxonomy places the organism in Eukaryota, Metazoa, Chordata, Crocodylia, Alligatoridae. The transcript has 15 exons.